Molecule: long non-coding RNA, 2414 nt
Organism: Arachis stenosperma
Lineage: Eukaryota; Viridiplantae; Streptophyta; Magnoliopsida; Fabales; Fabaceae
Exons: 4
Source: RefSeq, a predicted model, not a curated record
GCUCUCUCCUCACCCAGCGUACUUCUCGCGGCUCCCUCACUCUCCGGCGGAGUGGAGAGAGAAGUCAUUUUCCGUCGAGUCCUGGUCGGCGCCGUUCUCGUCAGAGACAUUCUUGUCGGUGCCAUCUCUCCUCCUCGAGUCUUUAUCGCCGUCUGCCCCUCGCCGCGUGCUUCCUCUGCUCGUUCCGCCAUUGUCGCAGAUCGUCACAUUGUUGCUCGUAGAUCGUCCUGUCCAGAUCUGCCGUAGAUCGUUCCAUUCUCAGGGUUCUUAAAGGCAUUCUAGUCUUCUUGCUGUCCUGAAUGGUGGUAAAUCAUGUGAGGAUAAGCAAAAACAGAAGCAAGAGGAAGCUUCUACUUCUGAGAAUCAAUCACCGUGCUGGUGCCUCCGCUGAACUUCGCCGUGGUGGACAACGGCAUUUUCCGCUCUGGUUUUCCCGAACCCGCCAACUUCGGGUUCCUGAAAUCGCUCCACCUCCGUUCCGUUAUAUGUUUGUGCCCCGAGCCCUAUCCGGAACCCAAUUCAGAAUUUCUGAAGUUUCAUGGAAUUAGGCUUUUCCAAUUCGGGAUCGAUGGCUGUAAGGUUUCGUAAUUUCUCCUUUCAUUCUGGUCUUGAUCACAACAAGUAAUUUAAGUAUAGCUUUCAACAAGUAAUUAGACUUUUUAUAUGUAGUUGAAGCUUCUGGUGUAGAAUCAUAUCACAAACACUGAUUGUGAUAUAAACACAAGCAUGCACACUGCAUUAUGUGCUGAACUAGGAAGAUGAUUUCAGCAGGGAUUGGUUAUGAAUUUAUCAGACAAUUAGACAUGAUCACAUCACAUGAAUAUUAUUUCCAAGAAUCUAGCAUUUGAAUGCCAUAUAUCUGGUUCCCUUUAACAUUUCAGUUGAAUUAUAAGUUCACCUCCACAAGCUCCAUUUCAUAUUCACUGUAUAAUCCAAUAUACAAACACCAAAUGUGUAAUAUAUUAAUAGGAGCUUCAGAAGAGACUCUAAUGCUUGCCGAACCUAUGGCUGGUAGUUGUGCCUGCUCAUACGAAUUUGGUCUUUAUGUGAUGUGCUGCUGCUUGUUUCAAAUAAUAUUAUGUAGAUGAAUGUUAUUUAAAAGUAGUUUCCCUCCUUGGCUUGCACAGCACAACUGAUCCUACUACUGGAUUCAUAUCCAAAGAGUUGUCAAGUGAAUAGUGGCUAUUUUAUGUGCUGCUCCAAGGAAGCCUUUAGAAUUAGUGUGGUGAUGAAGAUAUGAGUAGUCCGCAGAAAGUUCCUAUAAGUUUAAUAAUUCUGCUUCUUGUUGUUACAUUAGAGAAGGUUUAAAAAAAAAACACUGCACGAGUCCAUGGUAAUUUUUGUUCUUGUAGCUUCUCCCUUGUCCAAUACAGAUUAUAGUAUCUUAUUAAUUAAAGUUUUGAAGCUGCCUGAUAUAGUGAACUCAAUCAUUCAUGUUUGCUUUCCACUGGAUAAUGACAUUUUUAUCUGGGAGUUAAGGCUACGCUAUGGGGAUGCCUUGGCCCUUGGGUUAUUUCUCUUAACUGGAAAAAGAUUCACAAUAUUAAGUUUUCAACUUAUGUCUUAAAUUAUGUACUAUUAUAUAUUCUCAGCGUUGAUUACACUUGUGGGUAGGAACCCUUUGUCAACAUCCCAAAGGGUACUAUUUGAGAAGCUUUGAAAGUAGUCCUAGGUAUUACACACUCUUUAACUUCUUUACUACAAUGUUAGCCCUUAGCACAACCUGUUGAGCGAUAUAUUAAUCUAACGUUGUUUGCUUGCAUCAGAUGUUAGAAACCACCCGUGCUAAUUCAUUGUAAACGAGGGAAGGUACUAAAAUUUGUUUUUCUUGUUCCCUGUUACUAACACUUGAGUUAUUACUCCCAGACUUAAGGUUUUUAGCUUUUGCAUGAUGAGUUUAUGGUCGCUAAAGAUCUGUUUUUAUACAUCUGGGAAACCAUCAUCUGCUGCUGGAUUGACUGCAACAGUUGCUAAGGAACCAGAAACUGGAGAGUUUUGUAUUGAGUGUGGAGUCUGGUGACAUUGAUCUAAGGCUAAGGCUAUUAAUCCUUAUUCUGCAUCUGCACUCUACAGUGUUUUGGCAACCUUGGUGAAGAACAAAGUUGUGCCUGAUCCAAGAUUCAAGGUUAAGAUUGCUUAAAGAUUCUGUUGUGGUUUGUAUUGGUUGCAGCUCCAAAAGCAGUGGAAAAAUGAAAGAGAAAAAAUUAGUGCAGAAAAUCAGAAAUUGUUGAACCAUAUUGAUUGUUCAUGAAUAGAGCAAAGUUAUGUUAUUCAUGAAUUAUUUUUCUCUUUAGUCUAGAUUGUGGAUAAUAAUUUUGAUGUAUUUAGGAAUUUUCAAUAUUUUAAAUUUUAUAUUUUUAUGUAGACAUGGUGAAUGUUUUUGGUAUUUAUUAGAAAAAUUGAUUUAUGUUUAA